RNAcentral lists this ribosomal RNA (486 nucleotides) under uncultured bacterium. RNAcentral's name for it is "partial 16S ribosomal RNA". It matches the Rfam family "Bacterial small subunit ribosomal RNA", at positions 28 to 507 of the family's 1533-position model. The record is from RNAcentral.
GACGAACGCUGGCGGCGUGCUUAACACAUGCAAGUCGAACGCUGAAGACCUGGCUUUUGUUGGGUUGGAUGAGUGGCGAACGGGUGAGUAACACGUGAGUAACCUGCCCUCUUCUUUGGGAUAACGCCCGGAAACGGGUGCUAAUACUGGAUAUUCACUGAUCUUCGCAUGGGGGUUGGUGGAAAGGUUUGUUCUGGUGGGGGAUGGGCUCGCGGCCUAUCAGCUUGUUGGUGGGGUGAUGGCCUACCAAGGCUUUGACGGGUAGCCGGCCUGAGAGGGUGACCGGUCACAUUGGGACUGAGAUACGGCCCAGACUCCUACGGGAGGCAGCAGUGGGGAAUAUUGCACAAUGGGCGAAAGCCGGAUGCAGCGACGCCGCGUGAGGGAUGGAGGCCUUCGGGUUGUAAACCUCUUUCGCUCAUGGUCAAGCCGCAACUGUGGGUUGUGGUGAGGGUAGUGGGUAAAGAAGCGCCGGCUAACUACGUG